GAUGAACGCUGGCGGCGUGCCUAAUACAUGCAAGUCGAGCGAACGGACGAGAAGCUUGCUUCUCUGAUGUUAGCGGCGGACGGGUGAGUAACACGUGGAUAACCUACCUAUAAGACUGGGAUAACUUCGGGAAACCGGAGCUAAUACCGGAUAAUAUUUUGAACCGCAGGGUUCAAAAGUGAAAGACGGUCUUGCUGUCACUUAUAGAUGGAUCCGCGCUGCAUUAGCUAGUUGGUAAGGUAACGGCUUACCAAGGCAACGAUGCAUAGCCGACCUGAGAGGGUGAUCGGCCACACUGGAACUGAGACACGGUCCAGACUCCUACGGGAGGCAGCAGUAGGGAAUCUUCCGCAAUGGGCGAAAGCCUGACGGAGCAACGCCGCGUGAGUGAUGAAGGUCUUCGGAUCGUAAAACUCUGUUAUUAGGGAAGAACAUAUGUGUAAGUAACUGUGCACAUCUUGACGGUACCUAAGCAGAAAGCCACGGCUAACUACGU
Molecule: ribosomal RNA, 496 nt
Filed under: uncultured bacterium
Lineage: Bacteria
Description: partial 16S ribosomal RNA
Rfam family: Bacterial small subunit ribosomal RNA
Source: RNAcentral